GCCCAGACUCCUACGGGAGGCAGCAGUGGGGGAUAUUGCACAAUGGGGGGAACCCUGAUGCAGCGACGCCGCGUGGGUGAAGAAGCGCUUCGGCGCGUAAAGCCCUUUCAGCAGGGAAGAAAAUGACGGUACCUGAAGAAGAAGCCCCGGCUAACUACGUGCCAGCAGCCGCGGUAAUACGUAGGGGGCAAGCGCUAUCCGGAUUUACUGGGUGUAAAGGGGGCGCAGACGGCGAUGCAAGCCAGGGGUGAAAGCCCGGGGCCCAACCCCGGGACUGCUCUUGGAACUGCGUGGCUGGAGUGCAGGAGGGGCAGGCGGAAUUCCUGGUGUAGCGGUGAAAUGCGUAGAUAUCAGGAGGAACACCGGUGGCGAAGGCGGCCUGCUGGACUGCAACUGACGUUGAGGCCCGAAAGCGUGGGGAGCAAACAGGAUUAGAUACCCCAGUA
RNAcentral lists this ribosomal RNA (446 nucleotides) under uncultured bacterium. Its description in RNAcentral is "bacterial SSU rRNA". It matches the Rfam family "Bacterial small subunit ribosomal RNA", at positions 329 to 792 of the family's 1533-position model. The record is from RNAcentral.